This 1652-nucleotide ribosomal RNA is filed under the name human gut metagenome. Its description in RNAcentral is "bacterial LSU rRNA". It matches the Rfam family "Bacterial large subunit ribosomal RNA", at positions 803 to 2541 of the family's 2925-position model. The record is from RNAcentral.
GAUGAACUGUGGGUAGCGGAGAAAUUCCAAUCGAACCCGGAGAUAGCUGGUUCUCCCCGAAAUAGUUUUAGGACUAGCCUCAAGUUAGAUAUCUGGAGGUAAAGCACUGAAUAGCCUAGCGGCCGAGAGGUUAGCGAAGCUUAUCAAACUCAGAAUGCCAGAAUAUUGAUGCUUGGGAGUCAGACAGUGUCAGAUAAAUGUCAUUGUCAAAAGGGAAACAGCCCAGAUCUACAGCUAAGGUCCCAAAGUUAGGUUAAGUGGAAAACGAUGUGAAGAUACGCAGACAACCAGGAUGUUGGCUCAGAAGCAGCCACUCAUUCAAAGAGUGCGUAAUAGCUCACUGGUCGAGCGUCUUUGCGCGGAGAAUUUAACGGGGCUAAACCUGACACCGAAGCUUAGGCAAUACAGCAAUGUAUUGGGUAGGGGAGCGUUGUAUACGCGGUGAAACAGUAGCGCAAGCGGCUGUGGAGUGUAUAGAAGUGAGAAUGCCGGAAUGAGUAGCGCGAAUGCAGUGAGAAUCUGCAUGGCCGAAAGCCUCAGGUUUUUGGAGGAAGGUUCGUCCGCUCCAAGUUAGUCGGGAGCUAAGGUGAGGCCGAGAGGCGUAGCCGAUGCACAGACGGUAGAGAUUCCGUCACCACCGAAAGAGUUAAGCACAGGGACACAUUUGAAGUCUCAGAGCCGGGUGUUGGUUCCGGUAGAGAUCGAGGGAAGUUAGUACCGAAGUCUGGGAUGGAAGAUGGCGAGAAAAGCUGUGUGGAUUUCUGAGGUGCCCGUACCGCAAACCGACACAGGUAGGUAGGAAGAAGAUUCUAAGGCCAACGGGAGAAGGGUUGUUAAGGAACUCGGCAAAUUGACCCCGUAACUUCGGGAGAAGGGGUGCUCCAGAGAUGGAGCCGCAGAGAAUCGGCCCAAGCAACUGUUUACCAAAAACACAGGUUUGUGCUAAAUCGAAAGAUGACGUAUACGAGCUGACGCCUGCCCGGUGCUGGAAGGUUAAGAGGAGAUGUGCAAGCAUUGAAUCGAAGCCCCAGUGAACGGCGGCCGUAACUAUAACGGUCCUAAGGUAGCGAAAUUCCUUGUCAGGUAAGUUCUGACCCGCAUGAAAGGCGUAAUGAUUUGGGCACUGUCUCAACAGCCCGCCCGGCGAAAUUGUAGUACCGGUGAAGAUGCCGGUUACCCGCGACAAGACGGAAAGACCCCAUGGAGCUUUACUGUAGCCUAAUAUUGGGUUUCGAUGUUGCAUGCACAGGAUAGAUGGGACUCUGGGAAACCAGUGCUUUGGCGCUGGCGGAGAGGCCGUUGGGAUACCAUCCUUGCGAUAUUGGAAUUCUAACCUGCGGCUCUGAAUCGAGUCGGGGGACAUUGUUAGGUGGGCAGUUUGACUGGGGCGGUCGCCUCCUAAAAAGUAACGGAGGCGUUCAAAGGUUCGCUCAGCUUGAACGGAAAUCAAGCAAAAGAGUGCAAACGCAGAAGCGAGCCUAACUGCGAGACUGACGGGUCGAGCAGUAACGAAAGUUGGAGUUAGUGAUCCGGUGGUAUGUGAGUGGAAAUGCCAUCGCUCAACGGAUAAAAGUUACCCUGGGGAUAACAGGCUGAUCUCCCCCAAGAGUCCACAUCGACGGGGAGGUUUGGCACCUCGAUGUCGGCUCAUC